RNAcentral lists this ribosomal RNA (139 nucleotides) under uncultured bacterium. RNAcentral's name for it is "partial 16S ribosomal RNA". It matches the Rfam family "Bacterial small subunit ribosomal RNA", at positions 355 to 509 of the family's 1533-position model. The record is from RNAcentral.
UGGGGAAUAUUGGACAAUGGGGGGAAACCCUGAUCCAGCGACGCCGCGUGAGUGAAGAAGUAUUUCGGUACGUAAAGCUCUAUCAGCAGGAAAGAAAAAUGACGGUACCUGACUAAGAAGCCCCGGCUAACUACGUGCC